GAGAUCGGGCGUUCCCCUCGGGGGACAGGGUGACAGGUGGUGCAUGGUUGUCGUCAGCUCGUGUCGUGAGAUGUUGGGUUAAGUCCCGCAACGAGCGCAACCCUCGACCUUAGUUGCCAGCAUUCAGUUGGGCACUCUAAGGUGACUGCCGGCUAAAAGUCGGAGGAAGGUGGGGAUGACGUCAAAUCAUCAUGCCCCUUAUGACCUGGGCUACACACGUGCUACAAUGGGCGGUACAAAGGGUCGCGAACCCGCGAGGGGGAGCCAAUCCCAAAAAGCCGCUCUCAGUUCGGAUUGCAGGCUGCAACUCGCCUGCAUGAAGCCGGAAUCGCUAGUAAUCGCGGAUCAGCAUGCCGCGGUGAAUACGUUCCCGGGCCUU
Molecule: ribosomal RNA, 379 nt
Filed under: uncultured Anoxybacillus sp.
Lineage: Bacteria; Bacillati; Bacillota; Bacilli; Caryophanales; Anoxybacillaceae
Description: bacterial SSU rRNA
Rfam family: Bacterial small subunit ribosomal RNA
Source: RNAcentral